This 68-nucleotide transfer RNA is filed under the name Melanoides tuberculata. RNAcentral's name for it is "tRNA-Leu". Lineage: Eukaryota; Metazoa; Mollusca; Gastropoda; Thiaridae. The record is from RNAcentral.
GCCAAGUGAGCAAGGAAUAAUGCGGUUGACUUAGGAUCAACAGUCAAAGAUAAUGUCUUUAUUUGGUG